Molecule: ribosomal RNA, 498 nt
Filed under: Pseudomonas mediterranea
Lineage: Bacteria; Pseudomonadati; Pseudomonadota; Gammaproteobacteria; Pseudomonadales; Pseudomonadaceae
Description: bacterial SSU rRNA
Rfam family: Bacterial small subunit ribosomal RNA
Source: RNAcentral
CGAGUGCAGCAGCUACACAUGCAAGUCGAGCGGUAGAGAGGUGCUUGCACCUCUUGAGAGCGGCGGACGGGUGAGUAAUGCCUAGGAAUCUGCCUGGUAGUGGGGGAUAACGCUCGGAAACGGACGCUAAUACCGCAUACGUCCUACGGGAGAAAGCAGGGGACCUUCGGGCCUUGCGCUAUCAGAUGAGCCUAGGUCGGAUUAGCUAGUUGGUGAGGUAAUGGCUCACCAAGGCGACGAUCCGUAACUGGUCUGAGAGGAUGAUCAGUCACACUGGAACUGAGACACGGUCCAGACUCCUACGGGAGGCAGCAGUGGGGAAUAUUGGACAAUGGGCGAAAGCCUGAUCCAGCCAUGCCGCGUGUGUGAAGAAGGUCUUCGGAUUGUAAAGCACUUUAAGUUGGGAGGAAGGGCAGUUACCUAAUACGUAUCUGUUUUGACGUUACCGACAGAAUAAGCACCGGCUAACUCUGUGCCAGCAGCCCCGGGGUUAAUACA